AUACAGGUGACGUGUCCAAAACAGGACAAAACGCGAGUCCUGGAU
RNAcentral lists this non-coding RNA (45 nucleotides) under Schistosoma mattheei. Lineage: Eukaryota; Metazoa; Platyhelminthes; Trematoda; Strigeidida; Schistosomatidae. The record is from RNAcentral.